Mustela erminea (ermine) is the source of this 2883-nucleotide long non-coding RNA. RefSeq lists it as uncharacterized. The record is from RefSeq and is a predicted model, not a curated record. Lineage: Eukaryota; Metazoa; Chordata; Mammalia; Carnivora; Mustelidae. The transcript is spliced from 3 exons.
GUGGCAGUCAGGAGAGAUCCUGCACAUUCCUUAGACGCUCAAGCUCUCUGAGAGCACCAAGCAUUAAUAUUUUGGAAGGAAAACAUGAACCAGGCAGGAAAGGGUAACAUUGUCAUUGUCCGUUCGCAAGACUGCAAGCUUGAGGAAGCCAUGGAUUAGGGACCUGGCCUUAUCCAUCGCUGUAUCCACGGAACCUGGCAUUGUGUACCCAGAGUAGACAAGUGUGGAAGUGUUACUCGUGAGCUAAGUCCUGAAUGAGACAGUCAAUCACACGGGGUCCCGCCUCAAAGGAUUCUGCUGGACACUUGUGCUGGAUGGGAACAUCAGUGGAUUGAAACCAGGUUUGGGGUCUAAAAGGCGAGGUUUAAGUCCUGGUGCCACGACUGCUGAGCUAUGUUAUCACUACAUAGCUGAGAAGUGUGCGAUCACUUCUCAGCUGGGGGAGCGACGGACCCUCUCCCGGUGUCAAUGAACCCAAGAGUUUGGAUGCCACACUCUCGUGAGAGCCACCAAGGACUUGGAGAGAGACGCAUUGGUUCCCCAAGAGUGGGCGGGCUGCCCCACGAGAAAAGACACCAGAAACGGACUCAUCUGGGCCUAUGGAAACAAAGUACCUAUACCCUGAAGUGAACAGAAUUAAAAAUCCUCUUGAUAAACAGACCUCAGAGCGCUGGGCUGUUUGGUUUCAGAAUCUCUUGUCACCUACCCACCCUAUCCAUUUUGGGGUUUAAUGUUCAACGAGGUUAUCACAUGGAAAUCCAGCAAGCAAAUCUUAGGAGAUUUUCAGGCCAAAUUGUAAAACCCAUAAUGUUUACAUGGUCUAGAUAAAAUUUUAUUGUCUAUUUAUAUUUCAAUUUCCUAAAUGCCGAUAGCAAAACUGCCCUUAUAUAAACACGAGAAGAAAUUCCCAGCACUCAAAUACUACUUUUAUCUACCUUCCCUAUCUCGAAGCUUCUAGAAAAAUGCAUCUAGAAAGCAUCUAGAAAGAAGCAUCUAGAAAGAUGACAUCUUUUCCAACCACCAUCCUCCUGCACCUGCUCCUGUCACUGGACGUAAGUCUAAGGUUUCUCUAAAGUUAAUGAUUAAAAUAUUCGAGUGGACAUUAUUCAUCAUUUCUUGGGAGCAUUCUUGGGUCAUCCAUUAAUGUGCAGUUCUGAAACAGCAUAAGGUAGAUUCUUAAAUGGUGCAGUAUGGAUUCUGAUCUGGAGAGAAUUUCACCUAUUAUGAAUGGUUUUUAUAUAAAGAACCACCCGUAGAUCUCCACUUUUGAACAUUUCCCCUCUUCACUGGUAGUCAAGAUUGUCAAGGCCACUUCCUCUUUGAUCAGGUUGUUAUUCAACCAGAGUCUUUUUUCAAGGGAACAGCCCUUCUGGAGAAGGGUUCAGAAACCCACAGAUUCCUACCAAAAGAAAUUCCUAUAUUCUUAUCCAGUGCCUGUUUCAAAUACGUGUCUCUAAACAUAAUUCCUUUUAUCAUCCAGACUCUUAUGAUUCAUUCGAAAGAAAUUCAGAGCCAAAUCAAGGUUUUUAAACAAAUAUUUCUAAGGAGCGUGUUGUACAAGUUUGACCUAUUUUAGCUUCCCCAGGAGGUUAUUUCAGGUCGAUGAAUAAGGAUAUGUUCAUGAAGAGCAGAGAAUACAUUUGUUGAUUCUUAAAAGAAAACUCAGAUUUGGUGAGACUUGAAGUUUUUCUUUGGUGAUUCAUAAUCAGUUUUGCAACUUGAAAGCAGUUGAUGAAUCAUUCAUUUUACGAAUCUGCUGUCACUUCCUUAGAGAGAAGGGCUCCCUUUUCCUUAUGGUUUUCUGAAGUUUGAUUCAGUUAUCUGAAAGCUAUCAAGGUAGCCUCAUGUCUACUACCUCGCAGAGAAAGAGGAUGUUAUAUGCCAACAUCAACUUUAUUGCCAGGUAAGAGGCUGGGGACUAGUGGUGUAAAUUGUGUGAGAUGUCGCUGCUCUGGGCUUCUGGGUCCCUGCAGAAUGGAGGUUGCAUUGGAAAAAAAAAAAAAAAAACAACAAAGAAACAAACAGACGCUAUAGAAAUACCAGUCCUGGUUUUCUAAGUUCUACACAGGAAGUCUCUUUUGAGCUAUCUUGUUUCUUCUUUCCAGUGCAGUAAACUUGAGCCACCUGGACCACUGCUGGGCCCUAUGACCUUUCACUAGGAUGGAAUGGCAGCUUUAACUGUAAAAACAAGACAAAAUACCUUCAGCUAGUUAAGACAUAAAUGUGGCAUAUUUAUACUGAUGAGGCCUUUGGGAAGAGAAAAGUGGCUGCUUUCAGGCCCAGAGAGAUCAUAUACUGCGUUUCUGGAUUCCUUCUUUUGAUCAGGAAAUCCGAUCAAUAUCCUUAUAGGGAAAGGUUCAAGUGGGUCACAGGUGGGGCGCUUUACUUAAACUGUCUGCUUCUUAGUCCAUAUUAGGCAACAGGAACUGCCUGAAAGUCAUUUAUUUUUCAUUCUGUGUCAUUCAACCAUAAAUGACUCAGUUCUGAUAUUAUUUACCAAGUUCCACUGGACUCCUAGGAGAGGCAACCCGAGAACACAUGUAAUGCUAAUCUUAUACACUCAGCAGGGAAGGCAAAUGAGUGAGUAGUAAAAGGGAUGCUUUUUCCUUAAGAUCAUAAUUAGUUUAAUAGCUGACUCACAUCCCAGGGACUUGACCGAGUCCUCAAAGUGCUUCAUUUCUAAAAGAAUACAACUAAAUCUAAGUUAUUUUCCUGUCAAAUGGCCAAGCUUAUUAAAGCUUAAGGGGGAUCCUUAAAAGUCAUACUUGAAACCUUACGGGAUUCGAGAAUCUAAUCUAGUAACGGUCACAAAGGUGAAAAUAAUUAUGAAACAUUAAUCAAAUAUUCAGCCUGUCAGAAGAACUUAUGACAACUUUAUUUAUU